UAAAUGAGGUUUCAGACAUAGCGACAACUUACGGUUUGAUCUCUUUAAUAUACUGCUGGAGAAAAUUAUACGAGAUGCAGAUGUGAAUAGAUUUUGCACACUACUCACAAGACAACACGUGCUAUACGUCUAUGCCGACGACAUCGAUAUCAUGGGACGGUCAACAGAAAUAGUAAGUGCAGCCUUUGAAAGAGAAUCAGUGAAAAUGGGUCUGGUAGUAAAUGGAGCCCAGACAAAAUGAAUGGUAUCAACUCCCAAAACGCCUUGUACAACCGAGCAGAUAAAGCGAAUGGAGAAAGUUGGAAACCACAACUUUGAGAUAGUCAGUAACUUUAUCUACCUAAGCACCGCCGUAACCGAAACGAAUGACACCAGCUUUGAAAUAAAGCGGAGAAUAAUACUGGCAAACAGAUGCUACUAUCGAUUCUGUUGGCAGUUAAGAAACAAGACCACCCCUCGACAGACUAAAAUUACAGUAUACAAGAUGCUGAUCCUACCCGUGUUGUUAUAUGGUUCUGAGACAUGGGUGUUCUGUAAUAGCCAAUUAAAGUAAAGUAAAUGGGACAAUCUACUUGUUUACCUACGAUGUGAGAGAUAAUCCCUAUAUAUAUGUUGGUGUGUUUAUAGAAAACAAAUAUGCAGUUAAGCAUCAUGUGAAAUAGUGAAAUAAAAUUGGCGAGGGCUGACAUUCCUAUCUUCUCAAAAUAGCCCGAACAUGAAGCGUAACACGGUCCGAAAUUUUGGAACUUUUUAAAUUGAAAUCCGAAAUUCAAUUUAUGCGGCGAAGGCAUUUAUACAGCUAAUUACAGACGGACGUACCCUUCUUUGUUAACUAAAGCUAUAUAAUAUUGUGGAUAUGGCGUAACGGAAUUUCUGUGAUAAUAUGGUGCAAGGCGUAUUAAUCAGAUGGCCGCAUCAACCCAGCUGAUAGAGUUUGAUACGUCAAUUAAUUUUUGAAUUCGCCUUACAAAAAUAUAAACUUCAAAAAAUAUUUUUUUAA
Long non-coding RNA from Stomoxys calcitrans (stable fly), 1000 nucleotides. RefSeq lists it as uncharacterized. The record is from RefSeq and is a predicted model, not a curated record. Lineage: Eukaryota; Metazoa; Arthropoda; Insecta; Diptera; Muscidae. The transcript has 3 exons.